This 145-nucleotide non-coding RNA is filed under the name uncultured Phascolarctobacterium sp. The record is from RNAcentral. Lineage: Bacteria; Bacillati; Bacillota; Negativicutes; Acidaminococcales; Acidaminococcaceae.
CUGCGGUCGGCGCUUAAUAGGGAAGACCGGUGUAAAUCCGGCGCAGUCCCGCUACUGUAAAGGUGAGUUAACUGCAAGAUGCCACUGGGAAACUGGGAAGGCGCAGUUCAACAUUGACCCUGAGCCAGGAGACCUGCCUGUUACA